UGAGUAACACGUGGGCAACCUACCCAGAAGACCGGGAUAACGGCUCGAAAGGGCCGCUAAUACCGGAUAAUGUCGGGGUACCGCAUGGUACUCCGAAGAAAGGGGAAACCCGCUUUUGGAUGGGCCCGCGUCCCAUCAGCUAGUUGGUGAGGUAACGGCUCACCAAGGCGACGACGGGUAGCCGGUCUGAGAGGAUGGUCGGCCACACUGGGACUGAGACACGGCCCAGACUCCUACGGGAGGCAGCAGUUGGGAAUCUUGGGCAAUGGGCGAAAGCCUGACCCAGCGACGCCGCGUGAGGGAAGAAGGCCUUCGGGUCGUAAACCUCUGUCAUGGGGGAAGAAGCAAGUGACGGUACCCCAAGAGGAAGCCCCUGCUAACUACGUGCCAGCAGCCGCGGUAAUACGUAGGGGGCGAGCGUUGUCCGGAUUUACUGGGCGUAAAGGGCGAGUAGGCGGUCUGUUAAGUCAGGUGUGAA
This 478-nucleotide ribosomal RNA is filed under the name uncultured bacterium. RNAcentral describes it as "bacterial SSU rRNA". It matches the Rfam family "Bacterial small subunit ribosomal RNA", at positions 107 to 598 of the family's 1533-position model. The record is from RNAcentral.